Euryarchaeota archaeon TMED117 is the source of this 346-nucleotide non-coding RNA. Lineage: Archaea; Methanobacteriati; Methanobacteriota. The record is from Rfam.
GGGGGCGACCUGGUUUCGACGUGGGUUGCAAUUCCUGAGGUGCAUGUCGAGCUUUUAGUAACUCGUUAAAUUACUAAAAAACUAUAAACGCUGAAAAUAAACCUUUAGCCCUAGCAGCCUAACUGCCGCUAGCUUCACUCAGAGUAGGCUUAUAUGCUUUGUACUGAAGUCAUAAUGAUAAGACCGCAGUGUAUAUUCUUGUUAUUACACUGUUAAAUUAAAACAAGACAGUUAUUAAGUAGAUUGUUUGUCGUCAGCUUAAUAAUUAAAUUAAAGAUAAACUAAACAUGUAGUGCCAAUGGCUGAGUUCUCUCGGACGCGGGUUCGAUUCCCGCCGCCUCCAAAU